UGGCGACCGGCGCACGGGUGAGUAACACGUAUCCAACCUGCCGAUAACUCGGGGAUAGCCUUUCGAAAGAAAGAUUAAUAUCCGAUAGGAUAUCAAGAUCGCAUGAUCUUGAUAUUAAAGAAUUUCGGUUAUCGAUGGGGAUGCGUUCCAUUAGUUAGUUGGCAGGGUAACGGCCCACCAAGACGACGAUGGAUAGGGGUUCUGAGAGGAAGGUCCCCCACAUUGGAACUGAGACACGGUCCAAACUCCUACGGGAGGCAGCAG
RNAcentral lists this ribosomal RNA (264 nucleotides) under uncultured bacterium. RNAcentral's name for it is "partial 16S ribosomal RNA". It matches the Rfam family "Bacterial small subunit ribosomal RNA", at positions 89 to 354 of the family's 1533-position model. The record is from RNAcentral.